Molecule: transfer RNA, 79 nt
Filed under: Phanerochaete carnosa
Lineage: Eukaryota; Fungi; Basidiomycota; Agaricomycetes; Polyporales; Phanerochaetaceae
Description: tRNA-Ser
Rfam family: tRNA
About the family: Transfer RNA (tRNA) molecules are approximately 80 nucleotides in length. Their secondary structure includes four short double-helical elements and three loops (D, anti-codon, and T loops).
Source: RNAcentral
GGGGAGGUUUACAUUGGUAAGUUAAAGUAUCUGCUAAAUACUGGUUAAUUCCUUGAAGGUUCGAUUCCUUUUCUUCCCA